Molecule: long non-coding RNA, 724 nt
Filed under: Rattus norvegicus (Norway rat)
Lineage: Eukaryota; Metazoa; Chordata; Mammalia; Rodentia; Muridae
Description: long non-coding RNA NONRATT007456
Source: RNAcentral
CUCUUUUGUGAGGACUGCAGCCAACACCGCUGACAAUGCAGAUCUUUGUGAAAACCUUAACUGGUAAGACCAUCACCCUGGAGGUCGAGCCCAGUGACACCAUUGAAAAUGUCAAGGCAAAGAUCCAGGACAAGGAGGGCAUCCCCCCUGACCAGCAGAGGCUGAUCUUUGCAGGCAAGCAGCUGGAAGAUGGCCGCACCCUGUCAGACUACAACAUCCAGAAGGAGUCCACCUUGCACCUGGUCCUUCGCCUCAGAGGGGGCAUGCAGAUCUUUGUGAAGACCCUGACAGGCAAGACCAUCACCCUGGAGGUCGAGCCCAGUGACACCAUUGAAAAUGUCAAGGCAAAGAUCCAGGACAAGGAGGGCAUCCCCCCUGACCAGCAGAGGCUGAUCUUUGCAGGCAAGCAGCUGGAAGAUGGCCGCACCCUGUCAGACUACAACAUCCAGAAGGAGUCCACCCUGCACCUGGUCCUGCGCCUCAGAGGGGGCAUGCAGAUCUUUGUGAAGACCCUGACAGGCAAGACCAUCACUCUGGAUGUCGAGCCCAGUGUUAACACCAAGAAGGUCAAACAGGAAGAUACUCGUACCUUUCUCACCACAGUAUCUAGAAAGAGCCCUUCUUGUGCUUGUUCUUGGGUUUGAUGGGGAGGUGUCUUAGUUUUCCCUAUCUUUUAAGCUGUUAACAAGUUUCAUUGCACUUUGAAUAAAGUUCUUGCAUUCCC